Molecule: long non-coding RNA, 6055 nt
Organism: Eriocheir sinensis (Chinese mitten crab)
Lineage: Eukaryota; Metazoa; Arthropoda; Malacostraca; Decapoda; Varunidae
Exons: 2
Source: RefSeq, a predicted model, not a curated record
UGCCCUCCUUUCCUUUCCCUCCAAUAUCCUUCCCCUUUUCCUCCUCCUCCUCUCCCUCCCCUUAGUUCACUGAUAAACACACACACACAGGGUUGCCAUCACUCAGUCCUCCACUACCUCACCCCCCCACUCCCCUCCCUUCUGUCACCCUUCCACCUCCCUCACUCCACUUCUCUAUCACCUCCACCAUUAUGUACAGUGAGGGACAAAAGUCGUGUCUUGAAACGUGAAAACCCAAGGCAAUGAGCGAACUGCCUGCUGCACACAACUUUCUACUCUAGCUCAUCCCUAUGCUAUCCAAAUCCCCUAUGCAAGAGUUAACCAGUAUCUUCAUUCUUUCAUCCAUUUUGCCGGUAAACUCUGAAAUGGCCUCCCUUCCUCUGUAUCUCCUCCUGCCUACGAUUUGAAUUCCGGAAUUGAUCUCUCUUGUGGCCAGUCUUUUCUGUUUGGUUUUAUAGACUAUCCAAAUCCCUUCUGCAAGAGUAAACCAGUAUCUUCAUUCUUUCAUCCAUCUUGCUGGUAAACUGAAAUGGCCUCCCUUCCUCUGUAUCUCCUCCUGCCUAUGACUUGAACUCUGGAAUUGAUCUCUCUUUUGGCCAGUCUUUUCUGCUUGGUUUUAUAGAAGUGCCGAGUUUUUUGUUUUCCUUUUUGUAUUUGUUCCUGAGCUCCUUCCUCUACUGUAAGAAAAAAUGUGGCAAGUCGUCUGUCAGUGGUAGAAUGGAAUUGAGUUAUCAUCUGUCCCUUAUCUUUGUUAAUUUCAGAGAUAUGACCACAUGAUUAGCCGGUUCUCUUAAGCCCGUAUUUUUAAUUGUAUCGGCACGUCAGUUCAUCUGAUUGAAAAGCCUCGUAGAAGUUUUUGGAAUUUCCAUGGACUGUUUUUUGACAUUGGUGAUAGUUUUAUGCGGCUUCUCUGCCAUGAACGGGAAAAUCACCCACGAGAACCUGGUUAAUCUUCUCGGUGGCCGUGGGAAAUGGUUAUAGUGGGAGCCAGAGACAUUUAGGAGUAUGGACGUUAGGUUUUCACUAUUUCAUGACACAACUUUUGUUCCUCAUUGUACACCCUGCCUGACCCUUCCACUGACCACCUCUCUCACUCCACCUCUUCACCCUGCCACCCCCACCCACCCACAACCUCACCCACCAACCACUAAACACUUGAAAAUGAGUCUGCUUGGAGUGUUUUCAAACUUCUCUUUCUCGUAUUUUUUUAGUGUUUCCAAAAUGUUGCGAUAAAUGUGUUGGAGCUUAAUUUUUGCUUGUGCUUUUUGGAGAUUUUUUUUUAAUCUUUUUUUAAAGUUUUUGUGAUUGUGAUUAUGAAAGAUGUGAUCCUCGGUAUUUGACAACUUAAUAUAACUUUGAGGUUUGCGAAGAAAGUCAAAACUAAAUUUAAACUAAAAUAGAAUCAGAUCUCGAAUUAGUGGAAUUUAACUUAUUGGGUCCAGUGUAGUGGAAUGCUGAUAUUUUCCACUUUUUCGGUCUUUCGUUAAUAUCUGUCUCGCUACUCCUGGUUGUAAUGGUAGUUAAUGUAAUGACAGUAACAAUGCUGAUAUUUUCCACUUUUUCAGUCUUUCGUUAAUAUCUGUCUCGCUACUCCUGGUUGUAAUGGUAGUUAAUGUAAUGACAGUAACAAUGCUGAUAUUUUCCACUUUUUCGGUCAUUCGUUAAUAUCUGUCUUGCUACUCCUGGUUGUAAUGGUAGUUAAUGUAAUGACAGUAACAAUGCUGAUAUUUUCCACUUUUUCAGUCAUUCGUUAAUAUCUGUCUCGCUACUCCUGGUUGUAAUGGUAGUUAAUGUAAUGACAGUAACAAGGCUCAGUGUAGCAGGACAAAUUAUUCUAAUAUUUCACAUUUGCUAACCUUAGACAGCAGCAGUAUUUGAAGAGUGGCUCCCCCAAAAUGAAUCGUCCAUAUAUAGUCAUUACCAACCUUAGGACCGUAGCAUAAAUAUAGUCACGCCGCAUAAGAGAUGUUUUAACCCGGUACCAGCGACGGGCCAAAUUUGUGGCUUUACCGCGUACCAGCGAUGGGCCAAAUUUGUGGCUUUACCGCGUACCAGCGACGGGCCAAAUUUGUGGCUUUACCGCGUACCAGCGACGGGCCAAAUUUGUGGCUUUACCACGUACCAGCGACGGACCAAAUUUUUACCAUGAUUUAAACUCCCAAAAAUAGAUGAUACAUAGACUGAUCACAAAUGCUUUGAUAUAUAUUAUGAAGUGGUUUGCAUGAGUGAUGAAUUUUUCUCAUUAAUUUGCUUAGAGGGGCCUAUAAGAAACAUGAUCCCCAAAGCUACCGGGUUAAGUAUCAUCUAUAUAGAGAUUCAACCACAAUCUGGAAGUGUUGUUAUAUUUCUGCCAUACAAAACUGACUGACUGAAUUUUGGACCGUUUGUAAAUAGUUUCACCGUCAUCUAAGGGUUAAUGUUUGUCUUGCUAAUGGUUUUAAUGUCGCUGAUGUAAUAAUAGUAAAAGAAAGGCUCCAGGCAGACUCAUGUUAGAAGUGUUGGCAGCAUUUGGCAUGUUAACACACCCACCUAACCUAGCACCCAAGUCAACCCCAACCAAGCAACCUAGCAACCAAAUUAACCCCAACCAAGCAACCUAGCACCCAGAUGAGCCCUAACCAAGCAACCUAGCACCCAGAUGAACACAACCCAGCAACCUAGCAACCAGAUCAACCCAAUCCAGCAACCUAGCACCCAGAUGAACACAACCCAGCAACCUAGCAACCAGAUCAACCCAACCCAGCAACCUAGCACCCAUGUCAACCCAACCCAACGAGCCUCCACCUGACUUACUUAACUUAUACUUGCUCACAAUGAACCUUUUGUAAAACCCCACGGGAUGGAUACCAAAAGUGUCUUAUAGAUAUAUUUUUUAGCGUGGACUGACCCUUCAUUUUGUGUGUGUGUGUGUGAGUGAGAGAGUGUGCGAGGGAGAGAGUGAAGUGACAUGAUUAAAAAGAAAUGCAAAAAAUGGUACAUGUGUGUUUGCUCGAGUGAAAUAAAUAAGACAAAUAAAAUACGAAAUAGAAACAAGAGGAAAAGGAAUAAAGAAACAAAGAUAAAUGGGAGAAAGGAAUAUGCAGCUCGUAAAAGAAGAAAAACUACAUUGUGUACUUAAGAAGAGGAAAAGAGAGAGAAUUGCAAAUAGAAAAAAAAGGAGAUAAUCAAGAAAAACAGACGAAUCAUCAUUGUAUGUGUUAGUUUGAUAUGUUGUGUUUUUUACUUUCUCCACGGUGAAUGUUCAGCAAGACUAACACACACACACACACACACACACAUACACACACACACACAUACACACAUAAAUGGAGGAAGAGUGACAAGCAAGUGGCUACCAACAAAACACACACACACACACACACACACACACACACACACACACAGAUCAGUGGAGGAAGAGUGACAAGCAAGUGGCUACCAACAAAACACACACACACACACACACACACACACACAGAUCAAUGGAGGAAGAGAAGGAGGGACAAACAGGUGGCUAGGAAGUGGAUGAAGAGGCGAAUGAACGAAACAGUGGAAAGAUGGAACGAUCGAGUGAGAUAAACAAGAUAUGGAGAUGGAAGAAUAAGUGGAUGGGAAGAUAGUGGAAAGGCGGAAAAAUGGAAGGAUUGAGUAAGAUAACGUAAUGGAGAUGGAAGAAUAAGGAGAUAAUGAAAAGAUGGAGAGACUUAUGAAGUAAGGUAGAUAAGAUAUGGAGAUGGAUAAAUGAGUGGAUGGGGAAGUGGAUAACGUGGAUGAGAGAUGAAUGGAUGGAUAGGUGGAACGGCCUCUACACCAGAUUUUUCAAACGCAUUGGUAUUUAUUAACAGAUACGUGGCUAGUUGUCCUUAAUUCCACUUUUGGGGCACAGAUAGUUAGGAGUGUUAUAUUUUCAUUGUUAAGUCGACAUAUUACAAACUAGCCAUAAGUGAUUGAUUUGGCAUUUUAAUUCAUUUUCUGGGACAGAGUUGGAAGUGUUGAUUUGUGUUUUUAAUUAAUUUUUUGAGACACAGAUAGACAGGAGUGUUGGAUUUUCAGAGUUAAGUUGACAUAUUACAAACCUAGCCAUAAGCAAUUGAUUUGGCAUUUUAAUUCAUUUUCUGGGACGGUGUUGGAAGAGUUAAAAGUGUUGAUUUGUCUUUUUAAUUCAUUUUUGGGACACAGAUAGUUAGUUGGAAGUGCUGGAUAUUCAGAGUUAAGUUGGCGUAUUACAAACCCAGUCAUGAUAAGUGAUUGGUUUGGCUUUUUAAUUAAUUUUCUGGGACGGAGUUGGAAGUGUCGAUUUGUCUUUUUAAUUCAUUUUCGGGACACAGAUAGGUAGUUGGAAGUGCUGGAUAUUCAGAGUUAAGUUGGCGUAUUACAAACCAAGUCAUGAUAAGUGAUUGAUUUGUCUUUUUAAUUCAUUUUUCAGGACACAGAUAGGUAGUUGGAAGUGCUGGAUAUUCAGAGUUAAGUUGGCGUAUUACAAACCAAGUCAUGAUAAGUGAUUGAUUUGGCUUUUUGAUUAAUUUUCGAGACACAGUUAGGAGUGUUGGAUAUUCAGAGUUACAUAAGUUGACACAUUACAAACCCAGUCAUGAUAAGUGAUUGAUUUGACUUUUCAUUUCAUUUUCUGGGACGGAGUUGGAAGCGUUGGAUAUUCAAAGUAAAGUUGACAUUACAAACUCGCUCAGAAAAAGUGAUAUAAAAAAAAAACCAACAAAGCCGCUAACCAUGCCUUGUAAAUCGGGUCGGAAAAGACAAAUCAACCACAGGACUUAAUGAAUACAAAUACGACUUUUAUCAGGUGUUAGUCAGGCAUAAGGGACGAGUUUAUACAAAGUUGAAUACGGGUGGACGGAUGGAUAGCAGGUGUAAGGGCCCCUCCUAGUCAGUAUGAGGGAGAGGUGAAUGUUGGUGGAUGGUUGACAGUGGUUGACUUUUCGUUUAUAUGCUUUCAGGGACAAGGCAUGGGCAGCUAUAUGGGGAAGGAAUAAAGAGAAUUAAUGUGGGCGGCUUAAUGAGAGUAGUGAAGAGAAGGAUGGGAGGGAAAGGUGUAAUGAGAGGGAGGAACGUAGUGAUGUGAGGAGGAUAAGUGAAGGAAAAAGAGGAAAGGAAAGGUGAGGAAACAAAAUAUUCGCUUGGUAAUGACUAUUGAUUUUAUUGAUGGUAGUGAUACAGUGGACAAACAGGACACACACACACACACACACACACAUUUCGUCACCUUCGUAAACAAACCGCCUAAGUCAUUAUUUUCUACUUUACGGGAAAUCAGAAAAGAACUGUCAUCACCUCAUUUGGCUUAAGAUUUAGGCAGAAACAAAAAGGCCAAUUCUAGAACACUCAAACCCUGAAUGACGAAGGCAACUGUACAGAAGCAAGCGUCACAUGAUGAAAAAUUGAUGUAGACAAAAACCUGGAAAUUGCUGAAAAUGACUUAGGCGAUUAUUUUGUGAGGGUGACCAUUUAUUUUAUGUUACCAUUGUUAUUUGUGAUUUUAUUGUAUAUAUUUAAUCUGCACACACACACACACACACACACACACACACACACACCAGACUGGGCAUUACAAACGGGACUUGCAAGCAAACAGUACACAUGAUCGGUGCUUUUAAUAGUUUCUUAAUGUGUGAAUAUAUAUUAGAAUAAUUUAUCCUAUUCCCACAUAUACAUGCACACAUCUAUGCUUGUCCUAAUUAUUUGAAGUAACGACCUUGCAAGGGAAUUUUAAGUGCCUCACCUUACGUUAUUGUUAUUAUUAUUAUAUUACAUGAAAGCAGAAUUGUGCCAUGAUUUGUAUUGUAAAUAUUGUACUUACUGUGUUCUUACGAGGGGUGGAGUGUGGGGGGCGGGGAGGAUUCUCUUCUACUCUGAAUAUUUCCCUUCCUCCCUGCCUCCUCCUCCCUGUUUAUGUGUAAUUCUUUUCCCUUUUUUAAGAUAAUUUUUAAGGUUCUGUAUGUAUACUUAUAUGUGUAUGUAAAAUGUUAGGAGGGUGCAGUGGGCAUACACACACACACACACACACACACACACACACACACACACACACACACACACACACACACACACACACACACAC